GCGGCGUGCUUAACACAUGCAAGUCGAACGAAGCACUCUAUUUGAUUUUCUUCGGAAAUGAAGAUUUUGUGACUGAGUGGCGGACGGGUGAGUAACGCGUGGGUAACCUGCCUCAUACAGGGGGAUAACAGUUGGAAACGACUGCUAAUACCGCAUAAGCGCACAGGAUCGCAUGAUCCGGUGUGAAAAACUCCGGUGGUAUGAGAUGGACCCGCGUCUGAUUAGCCAGUUGGCAGGGUAACGGCCUACCAAAGCGACGAUCAGUAGCCGACCUGAGAGGGUGACCGGCCACAUUGGGACUGAGACACGGCCCAAACUCCUACGGGAGGCAGCAGUGGGGAAUAUUGCACAAUGGGGGAAACCCUGAUGCAGCGACGCCGCGUGAGCGAAGAAGUAUUUCGGUAUGUAAAGCUCUAUCAGCAGGGAAGAAGAAUGACGGUACCUGACUAAGAAGCACCGGCUAAAUACGUGCCAGCAGCCGCGGUAAUACGUAUGGUGCAAGCGUUAUCCGGAUUUACUGGGUGUAAAGGGAGCGCAGGCGGUGCGGCAAGUCUGAUGUGAAAGCCCGGGGCUCAACCCCGGUACUGCAUUGGAAACUGUCGUACUAGAGUGUCGGAGGGGUAAGUGGAAUUCCUAGUGUAGCGGUGAAAUGCGUAGAUAUUAGGAGGAACACCAGUGGCGAAGGCGGCUUACUGGACGAUAACUG
RNAcentral lists this ribosomal RNA (706 nucleotides) under uncultured Lachnospiraceae bacterium. RNAcentral describes it as "bacterial SSU rRNA". It matches the Rfam family "Bacterial small subunit ribosomal RNA", at positions 39 to 742 of the family's 1533-position model. Lineage: Bacteria; Bacillati; Bacillota; Clostridia; Lachnospirales; Lachnospiraceae. The record is from RNAcentral.